UACGGGAGGCAGCAGUGGGGAAUAUUGGACAAUGGGCGAAAGCCUGAUCCAGCAAUGCCGCGUGAGUGAUGAAGGCCUUAGGGUUGUAAAGCUCUUUUACCCGGGAUGAUAAUGACAGUACCGGGAGAAUAAGCUCCGGCUAACUUA
Molecule: ribosomal RNA, 147 nt
Filed under: uncultured bacterium
Lineage: Bacteria
Description: partial 16S ribosomal RNA
Rfam family: Bacterial small subunit ribosomal RNA
Source: RNAcentral